CGGUCCGUCCACCAUCUCCCAGGAUAUCUAGUCAGGCUGACCACAUUAUACAAUUACCCAUUUACAUAAUCUUUCAUUCUCUUUUUCCCUCAGUCAGCAUUAUCGAUACACAUACAAACAAGCAAAACGAUAAUUUAUGCCAAACAGACAACAUACAGUAUUAAUAUCCCAGUCAUUCAAUCCAUAAUCAGUAAAACAGUAAAAUAUGCACACGAAACU
Molecule: long non-coding RNA, 219 nt
Filed under: Carica papaya (papaya)
Lineage: Eukaryota; Viridiplantae; Streptophyta; Magnoliopsida; Brassicales; Caricaceae
Description: long non-coding RNA (CPAP_LNC004920)
Source: RNAcentral